RNAcentral lists this ribosomal RNA (465 nucleotides) under uncultured bacterium. Its description in RNAcentral is "partial 16S ribosomal RNA". It matches the Rfam family "Bacterial small subunit ribosomal RNA", at positions 28 to 507 of the family's 1533-position model. The record is from RNAcentral.
GACGAACGCUGGCGGCGUGCUUAACACAUGCAAGUCGAACGGAAAGGCCCCUUUGGGGGUACUCGAGUGGCGAACGGGUGAGUAACACGUGAGUAACCUGCCCUUGACUUCGGGAUAACUUCAGGAAACUGGGGCUAAUACCGGAUAGGAAUCCUUGCUGCAUGGUGGGGGUUGGAAAGCUUCGGCGGUUUUGGAUGGACUCGCGGCUUAUCAGCUUGUUGGUGGGGUAGUGGCUUACCAAGGCUUUGACGGGUAGCCGGCCUGAGGGGGCGACCGGCCACAUGGGGACGGAGGACCGGCCCAGCCGCCGCCGGGGGGAGGAGGGGGGGAAUAUGGCAAAGGGGGGGGAAGCCGGAGGCAGAAGCCCCGGGGGGGGGAUGAGGGCUUUGGGGUUGAAAACCGCUUUCAGGGGGGGAGAGGCUGGUGGGGAGGGUACCUGAAGAAGAAGCACCGGCUAACUACGUG